CACGUAGGGCGCAAGCGUUGUCCGGAAUUAUUGGGCGUAAAGAGCUCGUAGGCGGUCUGUUACGUCUGCUGUGAAAACCCGGGGCUUAACCCUAGGCUUGCAGUGGAUACGGGCAGACUAGAGGCAGGUAGGGGAGAAUGGAAUUCCCGGUGUAGCGGUGAAAUGCGCAGAUAUCAGGAGGAACACCGGUGGCGAAGGCGGGUCUCUGGGCCGAUAUUGACGCUGAGGAGCGAAAGCGUGGGGAGCGAACAGG
Molecule: ribosomal RNA, 253 nt
Filed under: uncultured bacterium
Lineage: Bacteria
Description: partial 16S ribosomal RNA
Rfam family: Bacterial small subunit ribosomal RNA
Source: RNAcentral